GGAGUUUGGACCGUGUCUCAGUUCCAAUGUGGCCGAUUACCCUCUCAGGUCGGCUACUGAUCGUUGACUUGGUGGGCCGUUACCUCACCAACUAUCUAAUCAGACGCAGGUGCAUCCCAUGCCGAUAAAUCUUUGGCAGCUAGAUCAUGCGAUCCUACCGCUUUAUGCAGUAUUAAUCCCAGUUUCCCGAGGCUAUCCUGCUGCAUGGGGCAGCUUACCUACGCGUUACUCACCCGUCCGCCGCUGUCCUUCCCUUCAAUCGUCCGAAGACUCGAUCCGGGAAUUCUCGCUCGACUUGCAUGUGUUAGGCACGCCGCCAGCGUUCAUC
This 328-nucleotide ribosomal RNA is filed under the name uncultured Anaeroplasmataceae bacterium. RNAcentral's name for it is "partial 16S ribosomal RNA". Lineage: Bacteria; Bacillati; Mycoplasmatota; Mollicutes; Anaeroplasmatales; Anaeroplasmataceae. The record is from RNAcentral.